This is a long non-coding RNA of Cannabis sativa, 1496 nucleotides long. RefSeq lists it as uncharacterized. Lineage: Eukaryota; Viridiplantae; Streptophyta; Magnoliopsida; Rosales; Cannabaceae. The transcript is spliced from 2 exons. The record is from RefSeq and is a predicted model, not a curated record.
UUAAUUGUAAUUUUAUCAUCAAAAUUUUAAGUGAUAUAUUAUUUUACUAAAUAUUUAUAAAAAGAGACAUUUACUCACUUAAUUUUAUAUUUAAGUGGGCCAAAAUAAUCCUAAUAACUAUCAUUUAUUGACUUAAAUAUGUACCUAAAUUUUGAAUAUGCUUAAUUACAAAAUCAUCCAGGCUCAACAUAUUAAUAAUAAGGAAAGAUAAUCAACGUCAGUGUUGUCGCCGGAUCAAGCAAGACUACCAGAAGGUUCACUCCCAGAAACUGUUUAUUCGUUUGCUGGUUUUCACACUGGAAGUGGCCAUUGGGACCAUGCCAAAGAACGUGGAACAAUUUGUUCUCCUUUUCGAUGCAACAUCAUUGACAGAAAGUUAAUAGAGGCUCUUCUCAAGACUUCUUCCUAUCAAGGUAACAAUUAAAUCAUCAUGAUUUUAAUCCUCCCAUUCCAUCUCUUUCCUCCAUUCAAAGAAGAAAUAUUUCUGGAAGAGGUAAGAUUGAUGGAGAUAAGAUGACCAGCGGCCAUAGAGAUAGAGAGGUAAAGCUUAUAUAUGAUUUCUCUUACAUUUAUGUUUAUAUUUCGUGUCUCAUGCCUUUGUAUAUAUAUUAACUUAUUCUAGUCCAUGUAAGGCUUCAGACUUCAUGUGUUUCCGGUGCCUGAUCUGAAUAUACUGUUUAUGAAUUACUCUCAAACCUUGAUCGGGAUAUUUCUUUUCAUUAUUAUUAUUCUUUCGGUUCCCAGUCCGUGUGAACUUUGAUAGCCUUUGGACUAUUUUUAUACACAUAAUAUAUAUAUAUAAUUAUUACAUUUGUUUCUAUAUUUCAUAAGUCUCUAAUAGUUCAUAAGUUUUCUUUUUCGAAUCAAAAUUUGUUUCUAUAUUUCUUCGGCAGUCAAGGCGCUCAUUCCACCGUUGUCUCUCUGUUAGUCUUCAAAGGGAGUUUUCUUUUUCUUAUAUUUAAAUUAUUAUUAGUUUCUAAUUCUCUGUGACUAAAUUUCUAGGAACAGAUGAUGUUUUGCAAAGUCGUUACCAGAAAAAAGUUAAAAGAGUUUCAUUUUCCGAUGACGAGGGUGGUGGCGGAAUAACCAGAGACAUGAUUUGGGUUGUUUUGGUUUAAGCUUUAUUACUUUUUAUGGUGUAUUUCAAUGAGCUAGGAGCGGUGUUUGAAGAUGUUAUAGCUUUAUUGUCUAAAUUUCCGGGGGCAGUUUUGUCCUAUGUGGCUCGCUUUGGAUAUUUAGCGGCCCAUGGUUUGGCAAAGCAUGCUCUACGGUUAGACGAUGAGCUAUCCUAGUUCGAGGAGGUUCCAGCGCCGGUGGCAGACGUCUGCGUCGUAAAUUUAUGAGUGAUUCUAAUCAUUUUGUAAAAAAAGAAAAAAAAAAAUCAUCCAGGCUCAAACACCUACAAUUUUGGUAUUGUUUACUAGUCUAAAGCUCUAGUACUCGCAAUUUUGCCAUGUUAUAAAUUGCUCCAGAAAUUAUAAUAUUAAAAUUUAGAA